This 907-nucleotide ribosomal RNA is filed under the name uncultured Gammaproteobacteria bacterium. RNAcentral's name for it is "bacterial SSU rRNA". It matches the Rfam family "Bacterial small subunit ribosomal RNA", at positions 8 to 902 of the family's 1533-position model. The record is from RNAcentral. Lineage: Bacteria; Pseudomonadati; Pseudomonadota; Gammaproteobacteria.
AGGGUUUGAUCAUGGCUCAGAGUGAACGCUGGCGGUAGGCCUAACACAUGCAAGUCGAACGGCAGCACAGAGGAGCUUGCUCCUUGGGUGGCGAGUGGCGGACGGGUGAGGAAUACAUCGGAAUCUACUCUGUCGUGGGGGAUAACGUACGGAAACUUACGCUAAUACCGCAUACGACCUACGGGUGAAAGCAGGGGAUCUUCGGACCUUGCGCGAUUGAAUGAGCCGAUGUCGGAUUAGCUAGUUGGCGGGGUAAAGGCCCACCAAGGCGACGAUCCGUACCUGGUCUGAGAGGAUGAUCAGCCACACUGGAACUGAGACACGGUCCAGACUCCUACGGGAGGCAGCAGUGGGGAAUAUUGGACAAUGGGCGCAAGCCUGAUCCACCCAUACCGCGUGGGUGAAGAAGGCCUUCGGGUUGUAAAGCCCUUUUGUUGGGAAAGAAAUCCAGCCGGCUCAUACCUGGUUGGGAUGACGGUACACAAAGAAUAAGCACCGGCUAACUUCGUGCCAGCAGCCGCGGUAAUACGAAGGGUGCAAGCGUUACUCGCAAUUACUGGGCGUAAAGCGUGCGUAUGUGGUUAUUUAAGUCCGUUGUGAAAGCCCUGGGCUCAACCUGGGAACUGCAGUGGAUACUGUAUGACUAGAAUGUGGUAGAGGGUAGCGGAAUUCCUGGUGUAACAGUGAAAUGCGUAGAGAUCAAGACGAACAUCCAUGGCGAACGCAGCUACCUGGACCAACAUUGACACUGAGGCACGAAAGCGUGGGGAGCAAACAGGAUUACAUACCCUGCUAGUCCACGCCCUAAACGAUGCGAACUGGAUGUUGGGUGCAAUUUGGCACGCAGUAUCGAAGCUAACGCGUUAACGUUCGCCGCCUGGGGAGUACGGUCGCAAGACUGAAACUC